GAUGAACGCUAGCGGCAGGCUUAACACAUGCAAGUCGAGGGGUAUAGGGAGCUUGCUUCCUAGAGACCGGCGCACGGGUGCGUAACGCGUAUGCAAUCUACCUUUUGCAGAGGGAUAGCCCAGAGAAAUUUGGAUUAAUACCUCAUAGUAUAGCAGUUUCGCAUGAAACCACUAUUAAAGUCACAACGGCAAAAGAUGAGCAUGCGUCCCAUUAGCUUGUUGGUAAGGUAACGGCUUACCAAGGCAACGAUGGGUAGGGGUCCUGAGAGGGAGAUCCCCCCACACUGGUACUGAGACACGGACCAGACUCCUACGGGAGGCAGCAGUGAGGAAUAUUGGACAAUGGGCGCAAGCCUGAUCCAGCCAUGCCGCGUGCAGGAUGACGGUCCUAUGGAUUGUAAACUGCUUUUAUACAGGAAGAAACACUCCGACGUGUCGGAGCUUGACGGUACUGUAAGAAUAAGGAUCGGCUAACUCCGUGCCAG
This 485-nucleotide ribosomal RNA is filed under the name uncultured bacterium. RNAcentral describes it as "bacterial SSU rRNA". It matches the Rfam family "Bacterial small subunit ribosomal RNA", at positions 28 to 511 of the family's 1533-position model. The record is from RNAcentral.